GUGGAAAAUCUCCCAUAGAAUUCAACCACCCAGCUUCUCUCCAGAUGGCAUCCCAUCAUCCGCAGCAUCUCUCAACCUUUAUCUCCUAUCUCCUGCCUCAUCUCCUUCCUAAGUAAAGAACACCUUCCAACUCAACAUAAGGCAGCUACAGGUUGGAGUGCAAUGGCGCAAUCUUGGCUCACGACAACCUCCGCCUCCCGGGUAUAAGUGAUUCUCCUGCCUCGGCCUCCCGAGUAGCUGAGAUUACAGCCUUAAACCGAUUAAAUGAAGUCUUGACAGCCAGCAGCCUGCAUCCACUACAGAAAAAACGACACCUUGAAUCACACCUUCACUUGAAUUCAGUUGAGUUCCAGUGACUACCACCUCUGUGCUUUGUCAACUUUGGGUUGAGUCCUUUCCUGAAAACACAUCAGUGUAACUAAGAAGUCACUGCUGUUUCUUGGAGUUGGGUUGGAAUAGUUGGAGUGGGAGCCAGGAUGGUUGGAAAACAAACCACACAUAUUGCUGCUUCUGGAAGCUUUGUUCUUUAAUGAGCCAUGGGGUGAUUUGUUCAUCAAGCUGCUUUUGUGUAGCCAUACAGUGCAUAUUUUGAGUGACACAAACUGCACUUUAUACAGAUGGUAUCUUGUUACCCCUCAACCCCCCAGCAAAGAAAAAAAAACAAAAAGGAAAUUACAAAGUGCCUAUUGAUUGCAUCCGGAAUGUAAUCAGUUCCGUGGGUGAGAUAAAUCAUUCUUCUUAUAGAAUUAUUCUAUUAAACAGUAAAAUGUUAUAUUUCACAGGAUAUGUCCUUUUAUAAUACAGUUUUUAAAAAAAAUUUACACUCAGCAUACUUAUAAAUUACUUAAAAUCCAUUAAAAUAAUAUAAUACGAAUCUGUAGUCCACACCUUUCCCAUAGUAAAUACAAAUACUUGGUUCAAAAGGUGCAACUUUUAUAUGACCUCAGAGGGCUGAUAAAUAGGCAUUAAGAAUGGAUGACUAGCAAGGUGACAGGCCCAUUGUUGGGGCUUUUUUGAAAAUAGUUUCAACCAGGGGACCAACAUGAGACCUAAUAGAUCCAUCUCCACAAUCAUCAUUUUGCUGUUACCCUUUCAAUACCCAAUCAAAUGUGGGAGUCAUUCCAGAGAAAAGUGGUUAAAAGUAGUCUAGGGCAUAGAAAAAGAGGACUCUCACAGAUACCAAGGAGUUUUACUACCAAGGCCAGCAUGGUAUUGCAGGACAGUGCUGGGGAGUUGUCACAAGAGUAUGGGUGGACAUAACACAUUUGUCCAUACAGAAUGAUGCAUGCCCCGCAUCCAGCUUCCCACCAAGAAGAAAAAAGAGAGGAGGAUGAGGAAAGCCAUGGAGUGAGUAUGUAUGUUUCUUUUUAAAAUGAAAACUCUCUUAGCUUUGAACACAUCCUGAGAAUCCUUUCUUCUUUCUAGUUUACCAAAGUGCUUGUUACAGUGAAAAACACAGCCCACAGGCACUGAGGUGGGACUACAGAACCUUGCUGGACCACAUCUUUUCAGCACAUUUCUGUGACCCUCUGUUUUUGAUGGAGAAAACAACGCUACUGUUAUGAAACACAGAAUGGAGUCUUCAUUAAUCUUCCAGCAGGGUAAGUGCUCUGGCAGGUUUCCAAAGCAUGAGAAGGUGGGGGCUCUAGUAUUCCAUCCCAGGACCUCUGGCCCUUUUGUCUCUCUCUGCAAGGCUCAUAGUUGGAGGGCUGUAUCUCCCUUUGUGUUUUCAGAAGCCCAGAGUGGCAAAAUAAUUUAAAUGGCAGGAGGUACAAAGUACGUUGUAAACUAAGCCUCCCUGAAUCCUGCUGUAUUUGCUGUUGAUUUGCUUCAAUUUGUGAUACAGAAUGAAAUCACACUUCUCUGCUUUUGUUACAUUUUCCAUAAUAAGUACAUACUAAAUUACAGGGAUACAUUCACUUUAAUGGGCAGAGUUGAAAAUUCAGGUUUUGUUUGGGGCUGGGAAUGUGUGCUGUGAGAAGAGUGCUCUGCAUUUUGGAGUAUGGGCUCCAAAUGUGGAGCUGCCCCACUGCUGCCAUGCAGAGAUCAAACAAGCAAAGGAGAAGCACUAUGGAACCACAAAUGUGAUGCAUAUUAAGGGCUAACAGUUUCAUAAGUGAUUGUAAUGCGGCAUCACUUUGUGGUGACAUAACUUUACCAUGCAGAGGGCCAGUGAGAACAGAUGGAUGCAGACACAGCGUUUGGUUCUGAAGGUUUUUAAGAGUUAUGGCUUCAUCUCUUGAUCAGGCCAACAAGGCCUACUACCCUAUGUAAACAACGGCUUUCCCUCAAAGGGAGGGCCCCACACUGCUCUCCACUCUUAUCAUUUUGUGGCUCUCUCCUCCUCACCCACCCACCCCAAUCCUGGCAGAUUAAAUUACUAGAAAUCCACAAAUCUAGCAACUGAAAAAACAAGUUUUUUUAAUUGAAUUUUAUCCAAACUGGAGUUUCAGGUCCCUGAGAAAAAUUAUAAAGUCUCUUAACAUCCAUCACCUAGUUCCUUUAAAGUGACCUACAUCAGUCGUUUUUUAACUGCCAAAAAACUUAUUUUGCCAAAAAAGCCCCACAAAGAUUUAGAAGGAAGAACAUGUGCCAACAUAUGUUCUUCUGGCCAUUCCUCUGGGCCACAGGAAAUUAUUCCAUAAGGGCAAUCUCUUUUUUUCAUACAGGAUUUAACCAACAUUCUGGAGCAAGUGCAGAGUAACAAUUAAUGCCCAGCAGUACACUACUCUCCCAAGAACACUGAAACACAGACUGUGCAACCUGGCACGGGGCUGAGGAACCAGCAAUCCCACUCUAACACACCAUGCUGAGGGGUUUUCCUCUAUCCUCUAGGAGAUUCUCUGAAAUUCAGAUUUUUAAAAGCUUAACAUUAUUUAUUACUCCUCAGGACAAGAUGAACAAGGUGGCAGAUGUCUGUGGGAUAUAAAGCAUAACAUUUGCUCAUUAACUAUCAUUAUUCUGGAGAUUUUAAUGGCUUCCUUUCUCUGGCUCAAUUCUGAACCCAAAGUAGGGAGAGGUAAGACUCCUGCUACCUUUAGCUGCCACUCAGAAUUAUGCUCCAAGUCUAACCUCUGGGGCUGGCCAAUAACCACUGAGGCAGUGGCGUGAGGUUCAGUGUUGUGUAACAGGAGAGAGAGACUCUGCCUUAACAAAAGACUUAAUAUUUCCACAACUUCAAAGAAGUAUGAAAAGGAAGAAUACCCAAAAUACAGGUUAUAGAUGGUAAAGGCUCUUUUUCAGAGCAGUGCAUGUAGUAGCAAGACAAGAUGCAUUUAGUAACUUUAAAAAUAAACAUUUCACAUACUUAUCUCAAGAAAGGCUAUCAUGUUUCAUUUUUUAUAUAUUAUAAAUAGCAAAAACAGAUUUCUAAUCCCACAAAUGCUAAGAUACUUAAAAUGCUAUUAUAACUCAUGUGUAUGAAGACCACCCAGUGGUGAAAAUGAUGUCUUACUAAUUCCCUCAACCCAGGGACGAAUGGCUCUCAUCCCCCUGUCCAGUGGCCCCUCAUCUGUGGGAAGAAAUUCCAUGGGAAGGAGGGAAGCACAAGGUUAAAAAGAAAUAUGCCUACUAUACAUACAUAUUUACAAUAAACUUCAGUAACCAGAAUAUUAACAAAAAUAGCUUCAAGUAGUCCUUGAUUUUUUUCCAUCUAUUUAAUACUGAUAGUCUGAGAAAAGGAAGAUAAAAGUUAGUUAGUUAGAUAGGUCAUAUUAAAAACCUUUUUAUUUUUUGGCAGCUUUCUGUAACACUUACUUACUUAUUCAUGCAAUAUUGUAUGUGAAUGUUUUUGGAAACUAACUAAACGGUCACAUUAUUUGUUUGUUUGUUUGAGUCUGAGUCUGUGGUGGGAAUCCACCAGCAGAUGAACAGGCUCAUAUGCGGUUUUCGGUUUAAUCUAUACAAAGAGAAAAGCCUGAAUGGCUUAGGAUGAAACCUUCAUAAGUUUAGGGAUCACCAUGUCUCUGGGAAACUAAAAAAUAAUGUAGAAGAAUCUGAUCCUAGGACCAAGAAACAUGAGAACAGUAUGGCUACUGACACUUCAGCCCAUGCAAUGUAUUUGGCAGGAACUAAACAGGAGUUAAACCAGCACUGAUUACUAUGACAUCAAACAUCAUCAAAAAAAAUAGGUAUUCUCUUCUUCACUGUAUAACAAGAUAUCUGAGACACGCUCUGAUGGCUUAAUGGAAACAAUCACGGUUUUUUUUUGUUUUUUUUUUUUUGUUUUUUUUUUUUGUUUUUGCUUUCCCCAGAAUAUAACAUGGAGUGUUUUUUCAGAAAUCUUAAAAUAGAGGGAUUAGGCUUUUUGUUUGUAAGUAAGUUUUUGGAAAAAAAUUAUAUUCUACCCUAGCUCCUAACUAUCCCAAAAUAAACCCAAAGGCUUUUGCUUUCACGGUUAAGAAAGAUUUAUACGUUUUCUUCAAAUGUCAGAAAUGAGAGGGUCCCUCAGGACAGCAAUAUCCCCCCUAGUUCAACACCCACCUUUGGGAAGGGAAAAGAGGGUGGGGGAGAGGCAACUACAACUGACCCAAAUCCCCAGGCCCUAGGUGGCUUUGUAUAGUAAAAAUCUCAAUUCAAAUACAACAGCCAAGGCACAGCUGGCACCAUCCCCAGCAGGCUUUCUGCUUCUGCAGGAGGCCCAGGAAUUCAGCACAUACAGUCUUAGCCAUAUGCUUAGAAAAGAGGCAGGACCACAAUUAGGAUUGACUAUUGUGGACGAGGUGAUGAAACGCAGCCCCAAAGGUGAGAUUUGUUUACCACUCUGUAGCCACGGAGGGACACACAUCUGCCGGUUCAGACCAUAAAUUCAUUAUUUCCAAAGAGUGCUAGCUGUUGGUUGGAGGUGCAGUCUGGGUCCACAGUUUUUCUGCGGCCAGACAUGACUGUCCCCUCUGGGGUCUCUUUGGUUUUCUGAGGUGAGUUUUUCACAUUCUUUAAUUUUUGUUUGCCCUUUUCCGGGUUGAAGGUUCCUCUGCUGAUGAACUGAGGCUUGUCUUCCAGGAAUUUGGUCUGGCCCAAUGGUCCUUCCAUUCCCAGGGCCUCAUUACCUGAGGCAGCUCGGUAGAAUGGAGAUUUGGAAUAAAUCUGAAAUAGUUUUCUGGUCCCAUGAGAUGAUGCCGUGUUAGACAGACAUAAAGAGGAGACCGAAGAGUCCACGACAUCUAAAGAGUCUUGCUGCUUUUUAAGUUGCUUUCGCAACUUGCUGGAAGGUUCAGACUUGCCAGCUGUCUUCAGGGAGCUAAGGGCUAAGCUUCUUUCUAAUGCAAAAAAGAGACCAAAGAUGUAAAUGACAGUGCCCUCUAAAGCAAAUCAUCAUAUAAUGAAUAGAUGCCACUGUUCACACAUGAAAUUGGGUGGGAUAAGAUUCAGAGGGUCCAGGAUGACUUACUAUGGGCACAGUCACAGUAAGAGCUCACCAUCCAUUUCUCUAUGUAGCAUUUCCGAAUCAUCUCCAAGGAAAUCUGGUGUUUGACUAUGCCAUCAGCGGAGGCCUAGAACAGUCACUAUCAUUUCAAAAACUGCCAGGAUAUGCAGGUAAGUCCUACAUCUCCCUGAGACAUGCCACCCAGUUAAACACCUCCUUUGUAUAUGUAUAUAGUCCCACCUCACAGUGGGGGCACAAUGCCUGCCACCCUCAGAAAAUGGGUUAUGGGUCAGUAAGACAACAUAUAUUGUGAUUAUUGGCUUUUCUCUGUGGUAAGUACAGG
This 5708-nucleotide long non-coding RNA is filed under the name Homo sapiens (human). RNAcentral's name for it is "PREDICTED lncRNA (TCONS_00084950)". Lineage: Eukaryota; Metazoa; Chordata; Mammalia; Primates; Hominidae. The record is from RNAcentral.